CAGCAGUAGAAUUAGGGAAACCUCGGUAUCCACUUAAAAAAAAGAAGAAGAAAAAGAGAAAAUGAUAGCCCAUGGUCCCUCUAAUAAGCAAUAUGCCAGCAAGAGUUGACAAAGAUUUUAAUUUCCAAAGUCUUUGAUCUAAGAGUAUGACAUUCCCCUCCUCGAAUCCCAUUUUGAUCAGGCAAUAAAUGCAAAGUAAGUAUGCUUAAGAAUUUUUGCAAAUUAAAACAGCCUCAGUA
This 239-nucleotide long non-coding RNA is filed under the name Sorghum bicolor (sorghum). RNAcentral's name for it is "long non-coding RNA (SBIC_LNC012839)". Lineage: Eukaryota; Viridiplantae; Streptophyta; Magnoliopsida; Poales; Poaceae. The record is from RNAcentral.